This 466-nucleotide ribosomal RNA is filed under the name uncultured bacterium. RNAcentral's name for it is "partial 16S ribosomal RNA". It matches the Rfam family "Bacterial small subunit ribosomal RNA", at positions 28 to 507 of the family's 1533-position model. The record is from RNAcentral.
GAUGAACGCUGGCGGCGUGCUUAACACAUGCAAGUCGAACGGAAAGGCUCCUGCUUGCAGGGGUACUCGAGUGGCGAACGGGUGAGUAACACGUGGGUGAUCUGCCCUGCACUUCGGGAUAAGCCUGGGAAACUGGGUCUAAUACCGGAUAGGACGAUGGUUUGGAUGCCAUUGUGGAAAGUUUUUCGGUGUGGGAUGAGCUCGCGGCCUAUCAGCUUGUUGGUGGGGUAAUGGCCUACCAAGGCGUCGACGGGUAGCCGGCCUGAGAGGGUGUACAGCCACAUUGGGACUGAGAUACGGCCCAGACUCCUACGGGAGGCAGCAGUGGGGAAUAUUGCACAAUGGGCGCAAGCCUGAUGCAGCGACGCCGCGUGGGGGAUGACGGCCUUCGGGUUGUAAACUCCUUUCGCUAGGGACGAAGCGUUUUGUGACGGUACCUGGAGAAGAAGCACCGGCUAACUACGUG